This 873-nucleotide ribosomal RNA is filed under the name uncultured organism. Its description in RNAcentral is "bacterial SSU rRNA". It matches the Rfam family "Bacterial small subunit ribosomal RNA", at positions 20 to 892 of the family's 1533-position model. The record is from RNAcentral.
UGGCUCAGAACGAACGCUGGCGGCGUGGCUAAGACAUGCAAGUCGAACGGACUGUCUGGAUGAGUAAUCUGAAAGACAGUUAGUGGCGAAAGGGUUAGUAAUGGAUAGGUAACGUACCCCGAGCUCCGGAAUAGCCAUUCGAGAGGGUGGGUAAUACCGGAUAAUACCAUGUGCCCCAAGGUAUAUGGUCAAAGAUUUAUCGGCACGGGAGCGGCCUGUCUCCCAUCAGUUUGUUGGUGAGGUAACGGCUCACCAAGGCAGCGACGGGUAGCGGGACUGAGAGGUUGACCCGCAACAUCGGGACUGAGACACUGCCCGGACCUCCACGGAGGGCUGCAGUAACGAAUAUUGCGCAAUGGGCGAAAGCCUGACGCAGCGACGCCGCGUGUAGGAUGAAGUCCCUCGGGAUGUAAACUACUGUCAGGGGUUAGAAAGUCCGGUUCGCCGGAUUGAUCGGCCCCAGAGGAAGUCACGGCUAACUUCGUGCCAGCAGCCGCGGUAAUACGAAGGUGGCUAGCGUUGUUCGGUGUCACUGGGCUUAAAGCGUGUGUAGGCGGAAAAGAAAGCGUUUUGUGAAAGCCCCCGGCUUAACCGGGGAACUGCAAGACGAACUGCUUUUCUUGAGGCAAGCAGGGGUGCGUGGAACUCUUGGUGGAGCGGUGGAAUGCGUAGAUCUCAAGAGGAACGCCGGUGGUGAAGACGACGCACUGGGCUUGUCCUGACGCUGAGACACGAAAGCGUGGGGAGCGAACGGGAUUAGAUACCCCGGUUAGUCCACGCCGUAAACGAUGUCUACUAGGUUGUGGGAGUUCUGACACUUUCACGGCCGAAGCAAAAGUGCUAAGUAGACCGCCUGGGGAGUACGGUCGCAAG